AUCCUCUCCUUGUCCUCUCUCUUUAACAUGCAAGGGUUGGGCAUCCCACUUUUCCACAUGCCCAAGUGUUGGAUGAUCUUUUCAACAUCAAGGAAAAAGGAGAUAGACUACAGUUAAAAUGUUGACAUCGCAGACAAAAAUCAAUGAUUGAUCAAAGAUCCAAAAAGCUGAGAUUCAUCUUAGAGAAGAUAGAUCAAGAAUGAAAAAAAAGAUUCAAGCUUGAUCC
This 226-nucleotide long non-coding RNA is filed under the name Elaeis guineensis (African oil palm). Its description in RNAcentral is "long non-coding RNA (EGUI_LNC050199)". The record is from RNAcentral. Lineage: Eukaryota; Viridiplantae; Streptophyta; Magnoliopsida; Arecales; Arecaceae.